RNAcentral lists this transfer RNA (192 nucleotides) under Vibrio parahaemolyticus. RNAcentral describes it as "16S-23S ribosomal RNA intergenic spacer". The stretch from base 54 to 126 matches the Rfam family "tRNA". The record is from RNAcentral. Lineage: Bacteria; Pseudomonadati; Pseudomonadota; Gammaproteobacteria; Vibrionales; Vibrionaceae.
GAUAGGGUUUAUAAAGUAAAGAGAAGAAGAGUUCCCAAACUCUUCAAUCCAGUGUCCCGUUCGUCUAGAGGCCUAGGACACCGCCCUUUCACGGCGGUAACAGGGGUUCGACUCCCCUACGGGAUACCAUCUUUAAACAUUCUCUCUUGAGAGUUUUUAAAAAUGGUUACUUCAUUAGAAGUGAUUAGCUCU